RNAcentral lists this long non-coding RNA (1303 nucleotides) under Piliocolobus tephrosceles (Ugandan red Colobus). Its description in RNAcentral is "lncRNA (ENSPTEG00000029388.1)". Lineage: Eukaryota; Metazoa; Chordata; Mammalia; Primates; Cercopithecidae. The record is from RNAcentral.
AUGUGGAAGGAGAGGAAAAGAACAGAAACAACACUGUGUGGACAUCCACGAAUGCCCAAAUGUUGCUGGAUGGGGCCACGCCUACACUCCUACUUGAGCGUUCCCAUGGCCGGGAAGAACAGCACUGGCCCAAGAGGAGGAGGAGGGCUUGAGGUCUUUUCACACAUUCAGUUUCAUCCCUCAAAUCACAAAGGCUCUUUCAGUUCUGCUGAUGUGAGUUGGGGAGGAAUUGGCGAUGGGAAAACUCUUCAUCUCUUCAUAAGCUUGCUUUGCUUCUUCUUUUUUUUUUUUUUUUUUAACUGAGCUGCUCUAAUUCUUUUAUUAUUUGCAGGAAUCCUUUCAGAUAGAAACCUGUGAUAUAUUUAUUUUUGUAUAGGGCCUGGUAGGCAGAAUAAUUCCCCGCCCCCACCACUGCUCAGCCAAAGAUGUCCUGCCCUAAUACACACAAACUGAGAGCCUGCAAAUGCCUUCUAUGGCAAAAGAGACUUCGCUGAUGUGGUUGGGGAUAGAGAUCUGGACAUGGGAGAGGAUCCUAGAUUAUCCAGGUAGGCCUACUCUAAUCCCGUGAGUCUCAGGAGUGGAGAGACUGUCUCGUGGGGCUCGGGGGUAGAGGUGACAAAGCACAAAGGGUCAGAGACAUGUGGUGCCGCUGGCUUUGGGGUUGGGGGAAGGAGUCCCAGCCAAUGAAUGCCAGUGACCCCUGGGGCUGGAAAAGGCAAGGAAGCAGGUUGUCCCCUAGAACCCUGGAAGGACCUGCCACUGCUGAGUCUUUCUUGCUGGCCUAGUAAGGCCCUGGGACUCCAGACCUACUGAGCCAGGAGGUGACGAGUUCCUGUUGUUUCAAGCCACUCCAUUUGUGGUGACUGGUUGUGGCAGUAGUGGAAAACUAAAGAUGUGUGUGCCACUCAGCGAUUCUGCCCCUCUGGCCUUCCUUUGGUUCUCUUAGUGUCCUUUGGUAAGUGGGAGCUCUUGAUUGGAAUGGGGUCACACUUGCCACUUUCCCUUUGAUGCCUCUUAAGUCAUGGCUGAGAAAUCUCCCGGGCCUGGGAGCUGGAGAAGCCCCUUCUCCAUCAUCUCCUAGCAGCCUUGUGCAGUAUUUCCCUCUGAGGUCCGCGGUCCCCCCUAGCUGAGGUCUGUGUGUGGGAGGAAGGCCUCUUCGGAAUCUUCUCUGUGCAGGUGGCUGACCAGGCGCUGUCUUCCUGGGGGUGAGUGCUAAGUGUUUAUCUCUUCUCAGCAGCCAGCCGGUCCAAAGCAUGAACUCUGCCGUGGUGGGAAGCAGAAAAGUUCCUACUAAACUUCCCCC